Molecule: ribosomal RNA, 666 nt
Filed under: uncultured bacterium
Lineage: Bacteria
Description: bacterial SSU rRNA
Rfam family: Bacterial small subunit ribosomal RNA
Source: RNAcentral
AAAGCGGGGGACCGAAAGGCCUCGCGCUCAAGGGGCGGCCGAUGGCAGAUUAGCUAGUUGGUGGGGUAAAGGCCUACCAAGGCGACGAUCUGUAGCUGGUCUGAGAGGACGACCAGCCACACUGGGACUGAGACACGGCCCAGACUCCUACGGGAGGCAGCAGUGGGGAAUUUUGGACAAUGGGGGCAACCCUGAUCCAGCAAUGCCGCGUGUGUGAAGAAGGCCUUCGGGUUGUAAAGCACUUUUGUCCGGAAAGAAAACCGCUUCUCUAAUACAGAGGUGGGAUGACGGUACCGGAAGAAUAAGCACCGGCUAACUACGUGCCAGCAGCCGCGGUAAUACGUAGGGUGCGAGCGUUAAUCGGAAUUACUGGGCGUAAAGCGUGCGCAGGCGGUUCGCUAAGACCGAUGUGAAAUCCCCGGGCUUAACCUGGGAACUGCAUUGGUGACUGGCGGGCUAGAGUAUGGCAGAGGGGGGUAGAAUUCCACGUGUAGCAGUGAAAUGCGUAGAGAUGUGGAGGAAUACCGAUGGCGAAGGCAGCCCCCUGGGCCAAUACUGACGCUCAUGCACGAAAGCGUGGGGAACAAACAGGAUUAGAUACCCUGGUAGUCCACGCCCUAAACGAUGUCAACUAGUUUGUCGGGUCUUCAUUGACUUGGUAACGAA